This 336-nucleotide unclassified non-coding RNA is filed under the name soil metagenome. RNAcentral describes it as "partial contains 5.8S ribosomal RNA, internal transcribed spacer 2, and large subunit ribosomal RNA". The stretch from base 1 to 120 matches the Rfam family "5.8S ribosomal RNA", at positions 35 to 154 of the family's 154-position model. The record is from RNAcentral.
GAUGAAGAACGCAGCGAAAUGCGAUAAGUAAUGUGAAUUGCAGAAUUCAGUGAAUCAUCGAAUCUUUGAACGCACAUUGCGCCCGCCAGUAUUCUGGCGGGCAUGCCUGUUCGAGCGUCAUUUCAACCAUCAAGCCCCCGGCUUGUGUUGGGGACCUGCGGCUGCCGCAGGCCCUGAAAACCAGUGGCGGGCUCGCUGUCACACCGAGCGUAGUAGAUUUUCAUCUCGCUCAGGGCGUGCUGCGGGUUCCGGCCGUAAAAAACCUUAUUUACCCAAGGUUGACCUCGGAUCAGGUAGGAAGACCCGCUGAACUUAAGCAUAUCAAUAAGCGGAGGA